ACCCUCAUCUCAGGCUACAGGCUGGUUGGUCAAAGUUGAGAGAGAAGUAGAGGCGAGAUGACUAUUCAAACACGGAGGUGGAUGUCAGAAAAUAUUCUCACUGCUGCUACAGGAAAAUCGGGUUUAGAGGUACGCAUGACUAGCUGUGCCGGGUAACAGCACGGACCACUUGGACUUGCCAUCCCCAGAGAUUUGAAAAAUAUACCAGACUUCACUGUCCAGGAACACUGUGUGCUUAAGACGGGUGUCGGCUCACAGAAACCUAGGGACGUUCUGAAAUUCUUAGAGCCCGUUCCAGGAGCGACGGGGAGUGGAGGCAGGCUGCAGCAUCGUGGUCUUAGCAACGGCCAUUAGGCUGAUCAAAGAGCCUCUGUGUCUCAACAACAAAUUAAGUUCCAACAAUUCCAACCGUUUGCCCUUCUGAGGAUGUUCCUCAGGCUGCAGAGGGACUGUCUCAUCUUUGUGGUUUUCCCAGAGGUGACCACAGAGGAAGCCCACAGUUCGAGCUGGAACGACUCCCACAUAGAUGCUGAUAAACCUUUUUUGGAGCCUCAAAAUGCUGCUGUGUGAUGGCUACGGCUCUUGAAUGUCACCAGCUGGGAAGUUACUACUGUUCUCUUCCCCUGGCAGGAGUGACAGUUGAUAUAUUCACUGUGAGUGCAAAGUAAUGACAAUGUUUUAUAGGACGACUUCCUGAGUGUAUUUGAGAAGAGCGAGCAGAGGGAAUGGAGGAGGGUUAGGAGCAGGGAGUUGAGUUGGAAUCAUUACUAGGCUCAGGAUGUAGCAAAUGACUAAUUUGGAGCAUCUGUCAUUUGUUAUUCGUGCGGGAAAUUUUUAGUUAACGCUUACUUUGUGCCUGGCCUUGCUGUGGCCACUGGGAACAAACAUGGAUCCUAUAGUCAUAAAGUCCUAUCUACCAUCGAAUGGAAGAUAUAGAUACUUAUAAACAAAUAAACACUAAAGAGUGGCAGAAGAGGAAGGCCAUGGAGCACUGGUCAGGGAGGUGACUUCCGAGCCAAGCCUCCAACAUAAGCAAGAGCGAAUGGAAACUCUUAGCAAGUCCCCCCAAAGGCAUGGGCUUGAUCAACGUCGGUCCCCGGCUUCCAGAACGUCAAUGGGCUGUGGACAGGUUUCUGGGAAAUGGGAGGAGCAAUUCAGCAGCUGGUCCAAUCAAGUGUGUCAGUUGGGUCCUUCAAGACAGGGUUAAAAGUGUGAAGGAUUUAAAGAUUUAUCUGGAGUAAUACCUGUGAGAUAAAGGGACAAGGAAGGAGUGUGCAGAGAAAGGAAGCCCUCACCAGGAUGCAGCCCUGACGCCUCUGAAAGGAGAGGAGAAAGAAAGAAGACUGGGUAAGGUGAGCCCCAGACAGCGGGACAACUUGGAGAAGUCUCAGCCAGUCCUAUAGGAAGCUCCGCCCAAAGACAGAUGUAGAGAAGUUCGGUACUGGGCGGAAACGACCAGACUCUGUUGCCCUGUUGCCUUCAGGCAUUGGUUUGGGGCUGCCUGAGGAGAACACGGCUUCAGCUUAAACAUUGCAGUGGAUCCUGGAGGCACUGCAGCCAGGGGCUGUCAGCUGACUGUCCUCCUUGCAGCUGAACGGCGCAGGUUUUCUUGAAGGGAGAGCCAAGCGGCACCUCUCCAUGGCUGCCACACAAGGCCUUGCAGUCAGCAGUCAAGUUUCAGCAUCAUCAGCUAUCGGUGAUCUCUGCCGGUGCAGGCAGCGGCUGCCCAACGGUUAGCGCCACAGACACCGUGAAGCAGCGCCUCUGCUCGCGUCUGGAGGGAAUUUGCACGCUGGACUUUUAAGCACUGAUGCAUCAAGGAUCCCACCUUGGAGGCCUAACUUGGGAGAUGCCAACGCGGGUCUCCUUUCUCCCGGACACACCGCUCCUCGCGACAGCUCCCUUCUUUGCAGCGGGCAGCUCUUCUGAGGACCCAGCUGCCCAGACGCACUGCCCCUGAUUCUACCGAACUCAUCUUUCUAUUCCCCAGCGUGGGGCUGGAGAAGAGUGAAGUAGGGGUCUAGGUUGACAAGGCCUCUUCUCGCAGGCGUGUGGAGGAAAGGACAGCCUUCAGAAGGGACUGAAUUACCAGCAGUGGGAACCGUGGUACCUGACACUCGGCCACCAAAUCAGAAAAGCAGGUGACAGCAACAUUUGCCUAAGCCUUCAUAGCUUCUCACAUUUUUCAGGGACUAAUUUUUUAAUUAACACCAUAUAUUUUAUUUAAUUUACUUUUAAAUAUGUUUUUAUUUGUAGAUAACUGUAGGUUCCCAUGCAGUUACUCUCACCCAGUUUCUCCAGGCGUAUCAUCUUGCAAACACAGAUGAUAAUCCCGCAGUCAGGACGUGGAUGCUGACACAGUGCACCCAUCGUGUUCACAUCCCCCAGUUGGCGUGUGUGCGUAUUUCGUUCUACGUAGUUUUGUCACAUGUUCGCAUUAACGUGUCCACCACCACAGUCAAGAUACCAAACAUUUCCAUGUCGCCCAGGGUCCCUCCUGCUGCCCUUUUAUAACCACCCCCACCACCCCC
Molecule: long non-coding RNA, 2531 nt
Organism: Equus quagga
Lineage: Eukaryota; Metazoa; Chordata; Mammalia; Perissodactyla; Equidae
Exons: 3
Source: RefSeq, a predicted model, not a curated record